Long non-coding RNA from Callorhinchus milii (elephant shark), 468 nucleotides. RefSeq lists it as uncharacterized. The transcript has 3 exons. The record is from RefSeq and is a predicted model, not a curated record. NCBI's taxonomy places the organism in Eukaryota, Metazoa, Chordata, Chondrichthyes, Chimaeriformes, Callorhinchidae.
GGCAGAAUGCCAGGAUUCGCUGCUUCCCACCUUUACAGGAUACUUCCAGCAGUAAUAGACGGUUAUUCUGUGUCGUCUUGCAGAGAGGGCAGGCAAACAGACCACCUGCUCCUGGGAUCCUGCUAAUAACCUAGCCUCCGGGAGGUACAUGAGAGUGACCUGAGGAAACAUCAAUUGCAGUGAAUAGACCCAACCACUGAUUCCAGUUGUUGAACUCUGAAACUGGCGGGCAGAAUAUAACUGAACUGCAUUGUAUGACUCCUUCUGCAAUCAAAUACACAUUCGGUAUUUAAAAAUGAGGUUCAGAAGUGUGAACCAGACCAGACAGGGAGCAAAAGGAGAUAGCAGAACACCAGUAUAGCAGAAAUAAGGUUUACCUAUUCUGAUCUCUAUCGGAAACAAAAUUAUGUAUUCACAUUAUUGGCAAAAUCUUUUAAAAACAUUAAUAAUAAUCCUUACAUUUGAUAA